Molecule: long non-coding RNA, 2417 nt
Filed under: Nicotiana benthamiana
Lineage: Eukaryota; Viridiplantae; Streptophyta; Magnoliopsida; Solanales; Solanaceae
Description: long non-coding RNA (NBEN_LNC010908)
Source: RNAcentral
AUCUUCCCUCACUUAAAAAAUCGAUUCAAGUUGCCGCCAACUAUAAUCGAAAACAAAGUCAAUAAAAUUUGACCCAAAAAAAAAAAAAAGAACUGUCCGACUACAGUAGUCGGGAAAAAAUAAAAUAAGUGGAAAAUUAGGUUUUAUUUCGCUCAUCUCCUCUGCUUUCCAGUCUCCUCUCUCCCGGCUAACUGCUCUCAAACAUUCCACCAUUCCACCACUAUGCUGCCACCUUCACUCCUCUUGGGUAAGUUGAAGUAGUCGGGAAAAAAUAAAAUAAGUGGAAAAUUAGGUUUUAUUUCGCUCAUCUCCUCUGCUUUCCAGUCUCCUCUCUCCCGGCUAACUGCUCUCAAACAUUCCACCAUUCCACCACUAUGCUGCCACCUUCACUCCUCUUGGGUAAGUUGAUUAAGAACCAAAUUUCUUUUUCUUCUUUGCCAAUAUGUCAUCCCCUACUCAUUCUUUCACCCAAAGCUUCUUAUCCUUUCCAUAUUCCUACACUUGCUGCUAGGUAUAUAUUCACAUCUCCCCACAACCUUAGCUUUUACAAUUCCUCCAAUUUUUAUUUGCGUUUGUGAUUUUUUUGAGCUGCUUAUUUUCUUUGAUACUUAAGUUUUCGAUCUAAUUGGUUUCUAGGGUUCAAAAUUUGAACAAUGAUGCAUGAAAUUGUAAUUCGUCUUGUUAUUUAUGAGAACGAAGAGCUUAAAUUAAAUGCUAUUUUCUUUUGUUAUAUACCAUUAUUUCAUAGAUACCAUGCCAAUAGGAUUCAAUUUGAGAUUAAAAUAUGACCAUUCCAUUAUGUUUGAUAGUUUCAUGUCACUUUUCUUGUUAGUAUGAUCUUAGGUUAAAUGAUAAGUAGAAUAUUGGAGUAGUAGAGCUUCCCAAGUAUAUUGCACUUUCUUUUCCCUCUUUGGUUUUGGUUAUUCACUUUAAUUUAACGAAAAUUGUUAUUCUCCUUGCUUAUGAAAUUGUACUUCCAAUGGUUUUAACUUUGCUGGGAAUAUUACUUUUUGAGCUUAAUUUGCAUACACGGACAAUACAAAACAAGACACAUUAGGUGUUACAAUAAUGGGGAAUAAGAGAAGUAAAACUAUUAAAAGAAAAUGAGUGUUAUGGUCCCAUUUCAGAAAUAUUUAGGAGUGAAAGUUGACCGAGACUUUAGGUGAACUUAAGCUUUGCGAUGGAGAAGAAUUUCUUGAUGUCAAUGAAACAAGUGAUGAGGAAGAAUCUAAUAAUGAAUAUGAAUCAAGUGAAGAUAAUUGACUUUUUGGGUUUUUAUUAUCUCUUUAAAUCUUUUAUUUUUCCUUAGUUAUCUAAUAUAUUGAAGAAUUGCUUUAUGUGUUUGUUAUUUAGUUAGGUUUUAUGUUAUUCCUUAAUCAUUUAAUUUGUUGAAAAUUACUUUAUGUGUUUAUUAUUUCUUUAAUUUUUAUGUUUUUCUUUAAUAGUCUAAUUUGUUGAGGAAUUACUUUAUGUUUCUAUUAUUCUUUAGGAUUUUAUGUUUUUUUCUUAAUCUUCUAAUAUGUUGAAGAUUUUAUCUUUUUAUGUUUUUAUAUUUUUUCCUAAUCAUCUAAUUCUUUAUGUUUUUUUAUUAUUUCUUAUAUAUUUAAUAUGUUGAAGAUUUGCUUUAUGUUUUUUUACUAUGGUUAUAUUACGUGGAUGGCAUCUGGGGGUAGCGACCGCCGAUGCCGUAAGCUCCUCCAUAUAUGGGGCAUCCUACUACUUUUCCUCCUCAGUCAACUUCGUUGCCACCUGCAUUUUUUAUGCCCCCACCUAGGCAUGUCCACAUUUCUGUAUUUUCAGUUCGCCCGAACUCUGGCUCUAACCUUAAUUUUAUUCUCAUACCAAAUGUAACUUCUUCUCCCAGUUUUCAUAUUAGUCAACAAGGUAGCUCCUCAACACUGCCUACUUCAUGGACUCCAGCGACUCCAGGUGCAUCUCUGGCAUCAAACACACAUAGCGUAUCUAGGUUAAAUAUUAGAGUGUUUGGUACAUCAACAGCACCAUCCAUUGGUAGUUGCUAAACCAGCAACUUCUCGGGAUCGACGUGGUAAAGUGACUCUACAGUAGUAGUGAUUUAAGGAUGACUAUUGUUCUUGGAUGUUUAAAUUUUAUAUUUAAACUUUAUGGUAGAUUUGAAUGAUGUGGUAUAUAUAUAUAUAUAUGUAUGUAUGUAUUUAGACUUUAUUAUAUUAGUGUCGAUAUGUAUUAGCUACUCAGACUUAUAUUGUAUAUUUAGACGUUAAAUAAUAUUUUGGUUUGAUAUUAUGGGAUUUGAAUAUGUAUUUGUUGAUGUUGGAAAUGGUUGGUUUGAUUAUUAGAUUGUUUAUUUGGAAUUGGUUGUGUAGUUGAAAUUGAUUGGUUGAGUUGGAAUUGGCUUGUUUAUAAUAUUUGCAUUCGAAAAGUGAUGUAUUGUUAAU